Molecule: transfer RNA, 72 nt
Filed under: Capra hircus (goat)
Lineage: Eukaryota; Metazoa; Chordata; Mammalia; Artiodactyla; Bovidae
Also listed under: 1 other name
Rfam family: tRNA
About the family: Transfer RNA (tRNA) molecules are approximately 80 nucleotides in length. Their secondary structure includes four short double-helical elements and three loops (D, anti-codon, and T loops). Further hydrogen bonds mediate the characteristic L-shaped molecular structure. tRNAs have two regions of fundamental functional importance: the anti-codon, which is responsible for specific mRNA codon recognition, and the 3' end, to which the tRNAs corresponding amino acid is attached (by aminoacyl-tRNA synthetases). tRNAs cope with the degeneracy of the genetic code in two manners: having more than one tRNA (with a specific anti-codon) for a particular amino acid; and 'wobble' base-pairing, i.e. permitting non-standard base-pairing at the 3rd anti-codon position.
Source: Rfam by way of RNAcentral
UCCCUGGUGGUCCAGUGGUUAGAACUCUGUGCUUCCACUGCAGGGGCAUGGGUUCAAUCCCUGGUUGGGGAA